Mus musculus (house mouse) is the source of this 1243-nucleotide long non-coding RNA. RefSeq annotates it as RIKEN cDNA 1700104B16 gene. The record is from RefSeq and is a predicted model, not a curated record. Lineage: Eukaryota; Metazoa; Chordata; Mammalia; Rodentia; Muridae. The transcript has 2 exons.
UCAAAAAGUUUAAAGCAGCAUUAGAAAAGCCAGUCGGGAGGGGACGCCAUGGUGGUCCCCCCAACUCCACACAGGGAUGAGCUCGGCUGCUGUGGUUGUGGCCAAGAAGCGGUCGGCACCAUCCGCUCGCCCACCCGGAAUCCUUCCCGCUUUCCAACCCGAAAGUUUGCUGUAUGGACGUCCGGCCUAAAAGACAAUGCUGGCUGGGGCGAGCCCCUCCUCUCGGGGGCUCGGCUUUGGAGAACGGCUCGGCGGCGUGGCGUCCACGCGCGCGUCCCCUCGGAAGACGCGUCCCGCUUCGGGGCAGCCGAGUCCCACGCGGGACUCGUCCCCCUUCGCCCGCCGCCGCAGUCCCUACCUCAGCGCCCGCAGCCCGCGCCGCCUCCCAGCCUCCGCCUCGGCCGCACGCACGCACGCACUCACGCACGCACACACCCGCCCACCGCGGGCCCGCUUCCCGCCCCCCGCCGCCGUCGCGGCGCGCACGCCCAACACGGACCUGCCAAGGGGGUCGAACCCGAGGCGGCCGUGGUGGUGGCGUUGGCGACACAGCCCCGGCCCCGCCCUCCACUUCCUGGUGCGGCGGCUAGGACGCUCGCUCCCAGCAACCACCGCGACGCCGCUCCGAAAAGGCGCCUGCGUCACGGCGUGCUCCGCCCCGAGUUUCCAUGACGACCGGAGCGCGCUCAAAGGCUGCCGGUCCAAAGGAGAGUCCAAUUCUUCAAACUUCAAAUGACAGUCCGAAGAUCCACUAGUUAACUUAAUCUGGACUAUACGAGGAGUUCUAACAACUGACAAAAGACGGCGGCAUUCCUCCGGAACUUGUGAAGCUCUAGUUUCUGUCUAGGAAAAUGACUCAUUUCCCUUUCCUCCAGCAAAAGUGACUUAUGGCUCUCCAAUUAACAUGUCAGCACAAGGUGCAAGCCCGGCAGCCUCCAGACUCCCUCAGUCCCUACAAGCACUUAUACAUUUCAAAGCCUGCUCACCAGUCCCCUGGCCCUUCCCACCCGCCCACCGAUUACUCAUUCUUCUUGUUCACUCUUCUCCGCUCCUGCUGCUGCUUUUCUCAAUAAGCUUCCCCUAUUUUCUAUCAGUGGCCAUUUUCCCGUUUCUUGUAGACAGUCCUGGCAAAGCCCAGUCUGCUACACAUGGUCAAUCUACUACUUUCUCUCUCUGCCCUGGACUCUCCAGAUCCCUGUGGCUGUUCUCACUCUCAUGUCUCCAAUAAAAACCUUAGCCAUAA